CUCUCUUUUCCCAUAAAUCUCCUAGAAGAGAACAUAGGUGAAAAGUUCCAUGGCGUUUGUCUUGGAAAUUACUUCUUGAAUAUGACAAAAAGCACAAGCAACAAAAAGCCACUUUAGACAGGAGAGAUUACGUCUAACCAAAAUCCUACGUUGAACCGAAUGAAGCAAUCGACACAGUGAAAAGGCCACCUACAGAAUGGGAGUUGCUCCACCUUUGAAUAUACUCACAACCACUGCACUGUACACUUUAAACGGGUGAAAUUUGUGGUAUCUGAAUUGUAUCUCAAUAAAGCUGUUUCUUUGAAUGAAGGAGGAAAGAAUCUCUGGAGAAAUUAAAAAUGUUCAUAAGUUAUUCCUGAGUUAACGUACGUACUGAUAAUACGUUAGGAUACAAGUUGGAGGGAUCUUUUUGAGUUAUUACAAAACGAAACCCGUACGAAGACUUCCAGAAGGCUGAAAAGCAUCAAUGCGGUAGGAGGUUUCCAAAGCGACCUCACUGGCAGAGCAGCAAGGUUGCAAGAACAAUGUGAAAACAAAGCUAUUUCUCAGGCGUGACCUUCGUGAUUGUUUCUGUCUCAGACUCCCAUGGAUACCGCCUGCUUUCCGAUCCUGGAUAUGCAGUCCUCUUAUUGGCUCCAUGUGCAACCUGAUAUUCUCACAUCAGGUUCCUUUUCGGUUGAGCAACCGUGAGUGUUUUUCUGUUGUUUGUAAUCAAACCUACUGAUGGAUACAGGAGGUGGCAGAUGUAGGUGUUAUUUACAUCUAUGAAGUGAAAGGAAAUUUCUUAGAGAGAAAAUGUAGAAAAGGAGGAAACAAAGCCACAAUCUGGAGCAUAGCAGCAAAAAAGAGGAAGAGGAGCCGGGAAAUAACUCAAAGAAUAAGAUCUACCCUGGAAGGAAGAUCACCAGAAGACAAUGGUUUCGUGGAAAUGUUUACUUGGGAUUUCUCUUGAAAUCCACACUAUUUGAAGAGACUGGCAGUGGACAGCAUGUUCAAUGCUACCAGGAGGGCAAGCCAAGUCAGAAGGAUGAUAAUUGGAUUUGACAGUAUGAAAGUUACUAAAGAGCAUGAAGAAAAGCAUAUUUGGAGGACAGAAGGCCAUGCAAGACAUUGGAGAUGGAGAUGAGGAAGUGGUGGCAACCUGUUCCAACAACUCGCCAGAAAAGUUUUGCUGUGAAGGGCAGCAGGCGGGGUCUUGCUGUGAUGCACAAACUCAUCCUGAACUCCUGGCUUCAAAGUGGAGUCUCCCAAAGCUCUGUCCAGUGGUGCUGUCAUAACUCACUGCAGCCUCGAACUCCUGGGCUCAAGUCAUCCUCCUGCAUCAACCUCUGGAGUAGCUGAGAUCACAGCCAUAUACCGCUAAGGUUUCCUGUUUUUGUUUCUUUGGAGAUGAGGUCUCGCUACAUUGACCAGGCUCGUGUCCAACUCCUGGCCUCGGAGAAUCCUCCUGCCCCAGUGUCCUGCAUAGCUGGGGUUAUAGGUGUGAGCCACUGCACAGAGCUGGAUGAGGGAUAAUGAUGGGACACUCAUAGCUCCUUAGUGUUUGGGUGAUUGUCUCUGUGUGUUCAUAUGUUCACAGGGAGCUGGAGACAUAGACAGAUCCCAUUAUUGAGACAUAAAGAAAUCCCUGCAAUGAAGCAGGUUAAUGGAGGAGACUUUCUCCUUUCCAGGAAGAUAAAAGGGCGGUGCUCAAAACAGGAGGAAAAGCCACGAACAGGGAUUCCCCUGAAAUGGAAUGUCCUCAGAAGACCUUAUCUUUUCCGUGGGAGGCAGGGGAUGGGUGGUUCUUUUUGGAUUCCAGAAGCACGAAUACUUAGCCAUCGCUCACUAAUAGUUUGUUCCACUGUAAUUUCAUGUAGUCACUACUGACCCUUCAUUGGAAUCUGUAACUGGCGUAACCUCUACAGUCCUGUGAGUGGUACUGUUGGGGAUUUAAGGAGCAGAGCAGUUGAAGCGAAGCGCUGCCACCCUGGCAUUGCCAUUCCCCAUGGGUACUUCUCCAAGGGAAAUUGGUCAUGGUCAUCCAGACAGAGACCAGCAGCCGAGUGGAUUUGAGCUCCCCUGAGAGGGCUGUGAACCACAGGGGAGUCACUGGCAGAGACGGAGUCUCACUGUGGUGUCAAGAGAGCUUGGGCAUCCGCCGGCAGUAGGGACAGCCGGAAAGCAACCGACUUACCCCGUCUCACCAGACCUUCCAACUGUCUGCCACACUGGCAUUGCCAGGUAUCCCUGCACGUUGUUGGUAGCGGUGGGGGCUAUACAUUUCACGAUGGCUCUAGAAAGUGUAUCUAAAAAUCACAUAGGCACCCAGGGGAUCCCUCUCAACUCCUCCCAGGAUGACAAAUCUCUCUCCCCCAACUCUGGGAGACGGAGGACAAAUGUGCUCUCUGCAGAGCAUGAACCAGCAGAUUUAUGGGCGUCGGAACUUCAGGCUCGCUUGAAGGCAUCCGUCCUAACCCGGCAUGGGGAUUCCAGUUGCUGUCUACAGAAAUCUUCAGUCCCUUACCUCCACUGGAGUUUGAUAUCCAGAUUGCUGGCAUCUUGCCCCUUCUCAGAGAUGCUGGAGAGUCUUCCUGUGGAAUCUAAACUUCCCCAUUGAGGAGACUUAGUAAUAGGGGCGGCAAAGACUGCUGGAGCUUGCUUCAUUAGUAAGCUCAAAAUAUUUUCUUAUUUCAACCUUAGUUUUUCUUAGAGCCAUGGAUUUCUUAGGAGGAUGUUUCUUAAAUUACAAACAUAUACGGGGGUGGGGGGGCUGUAAUGAUCUUUUGUUAUUAAUUUCUAGAUCCCAUUGUGGCAUUGUGGUCAGACAAUAUACGAAUCACCAAAGAAUCCUUUGUUUAUGGACAUUCCUGGGAUUUUAUUCAUUUAAGUAUCUUUAUGUGCAUUGUAGUGGAAUAGAAUGCAAAGGUGGAGUUGCCCAAAAAAUGAGGGUACCGCUCAGUAGAUGGUUACACAGGAACGUCUGAUCCCCUGCGAUCUGGGUUAAGAAAUGGUGUGCUGUGUGGCCAGCAGCCAAAAAGCACACUCAUGCCAGUCACUCUUUUCUUCCGCCUCAGCAAAUCUAAGCACUCUUGAGCUUUGAACACUUGAAGGUAAUUCUGCCUGUUUGUGAACACAUCACAUAUAAGCAGAAUCGUUACAGUACAUAUUUUACAAUCUGGGUUUCUCUUGGCAACAUUAGGUUUUUCUUUGAACUAUUCGCUUUUGUCGUGCUGUGUAGCUGAAUUUCGUUUCUUUGCAUUCCUGCACAGUAUUUUGAUUUGCAUGACGAUGCCACAGUUUGUUCAUGCCUUUUUACCUCUAAUGGACAUUUCAGUAGUUUCCAGUGCUGGAGUGUUAGUGUUAUUAUCGUGGCGCACGUUCCCAGGCAUGUCCUUUGGUUAACGUGCGUAUGCAUUUAAGGCUGCUCUCGCAGGACCGCCUUGAUUACUUUUUCUUCCUUCAUGGCACUAUAAGUGGUGACAGUGGAUGUAUCUGUUUUUUUCUUUUUUUUUCCUGUUCUCAGAGGGAAAGCUGUCAACAUGUCACCAAUGAAUAUCGUUGUUUUUGUAGGCUUUUAAAGGGUAUUUUAAAGGAUAUUCUGAUGGAAUCAAAAGAGUUCUUUUUUAUUCAUAGUUGGCUAAGAGGUUUUAUCAUAAGUGUGUGAUCAUUUAAAAAAAAUCAAACCCAUAAAAUACCCUUUCUGCCUCCAUAGGGAAUAUCAUAUUUUUUCUCUUUCACACAUUACUUCUGAGAGAGAGAUUUUUCAAGGGCUGAACCGCUUCAUUUCUAGAAUAGUCUUGAGUUGUUUGUGAUACGUUUUCCUUUAUGGAGAUUUAACUGAUUUGUUUUGCUAAUGCUUUAUUCAAGAUUUCUUCCUCUGUGCUUAUGCGAAAGACAGGCCUGUGCAUUUCAUGUCUUACCAUGCCCUUGAAGGUUUAUGCCUCAUAAAAUGGGAUGGGAAUCAUUUCCCCUUUUUUAUGUUACUUGGCAAGACGGUAAGAUUGACAUUCUUUCCUUUACAGAUGUUUUGUAGAAUUAAUCGGUGGCGGAAUCAAAGUCUGGAGUUUCUUGUGGCUGCUGCUGUUGUUUCCUUCAGAUUCCACCCAUCUAGAAUUUGUAGGACAACUCAGAUGUUUAGUCUGUUUCUGUCAUUUUGUGGUAUUUUCUUGGAAUGUGUAAAUUAUAUCCAAAGUUUCAGAUUUGCGGGCAUAAGGUUGUGUUCAUGAUUUGGAGUAAUGAUCUCUUUAAUGUGCUCGUUGUCCGUUGCGAUGUCUCCUUAGCCACUGCAGACACUGGUUGCUUCAUGAUCUCUCUCUUUUUCGUUGCCUUUUAAUUCCAUUUUCUUGCCGAAUUGCCCUCUCAAAUUCCAGGACUAUGUUGAGAAGAAGAGGCAAAAGUGGACAUUUGCUUUGCUCCUGAUCUCAGAGGAAGAGUUUUCACUCUUUCGCCAUCCAGUACGGUGUUCACGGAGAGUACUUUAUAUAGGGCGCUUGUGAUGUUGAGGUUGUUUCCUUCUGUUCCAAGGAGUUUGAGUGUUUUUAUCACAAAGGGGGUUGACUUUUGUCAGAUGCUUUUAGUGCAUCGAUUGAGCCGAUCAUGUGGUUUUUGUCCUUGAUUUUGUUGAUGCCGUACACUAAAUUAAUUGAUUUUCAUUGGUUGAAACUUCUUGCAUUCCACAAAUGAAGCCCAGGUGGUCGUGGGCUUUUCACUUGUUGUUGAACUGGGUGUGCUAGACUUUUGUUGAAUAUGUAUGCAUAAACAUUCUUUUGGGGUGUGCGUGUGUGUGUGUGUUUCUGGUCCUAAUUCUUCUUUAAAUGUUUGGUAGAAUCCUCCACUGAAGCCAUCUGGUCUUGGGGUUUUCUCUGUUGGGAGGUUGAAGAGGACUGAUUAAGUCUCCUUAUGAGUUAUGGAGAUCUGCUGAGAGUUUUUAUUUCUUUAAGAGUCAGUCUUGGCAACAUGGUACGUUUCUCGGAAUUUAUCCAUUUCUCGAAAAUAUCAAAUUUGCUGGUGUAGAGUUGUCCCUGGUCUUGUUUUUAUAAUCUUUUUAUUUCUGUAGUAUCAAUUGUAAUGCCUCUCUGUCACUCCGAUUUCAGUUAUUUGACACUUCUCGAUUGCUUCUUAGUUAAUCUGCUUAAUGGGUUCGUCCAUUAUGUUGGCCUUUUCAGAGACACCAGCUCUUAGGUUCAUUGUUUUUUUUUUACUCUAUUAUUUGUCGAUUCUCCAUUUCCUUUAUUCGUGCUCUAAUCUUUAUUACUUCCUUCCUUCUGCUAACUUUGGGUUUAUGUUGUUCUUCCCUUUCUAGUUUUUGAAACAUAAAGACAGGUUGUUGAUUUGAGAUCUGUCUUCUUUUUCACCGUAAGCAUUUAACACAAUAAACUUGCCCCUUAACACUGCUUUCCCUGCAUCUCCUUACUUGUGGUAUAUGGUGUUUUCAUUUUCAUGUGUCUCAAGAUAUUUUCUAAUAUCCUUGUGGUCUGUUCUUCGACCCAUUGCUUAUUGAAGAGAGUGUUGUAAUUUCCACCUAUGUGUGACUUUUUAAGUUCUCCUUCUGUUAUUGGUUUCUAGUUUCAUUCAGUUGUGGUCAGAAAAGAUACUUGGUAUGAUUUCAAACUUCUGAAAUCUGUGAAGAUCCUAAAUGUCAGCAAAAAAGCUAAAGCAUAAGACCUCUGGAAGAAAAUGGAGGAUGAAGCCUUGAGAAUCUUGCUGUAGGCGAAGAACUCUUACAGCUAUGACACAGAACGCGAUAGCCACGCAAAAACAGGUUAAGUGAAUUUCAUCAAAUUUAGAAAUCUGGCUUUUCAUCGUUAGCAAAAUGAGAAAGCAAACCAUUGGUUGUGACAAUGUUUGCUAAAUACACUGCCCGACAAAGGAAAAGUUUGCACACAAAAAAGCACUCUUACAAUUCCGUAUUGACGCCAAAUAACAAUCAAUGGGCAAACCGGGUGAAGGGUUCUUCAUGUGCACACCCCAAACGAUAUGCCACUGGUCAAGGGAAGAGGCUGGGCCAAAGUCACUAGUGGAGGC
Molecule: long non-coding RNA, 6006 nt
Organism: Callithrix jacchus (white-tufted-ear marmoset)
Lineage: Eukaryota; Metazoa; Chordata; Mammalia; Primates; Cebidae
Source: RefSeq, a predicted model, not a curated record